Molecule: ribosomal RNA, 562 nt
Filed under: uncultured bacterium
Lineage: Bacteria
Description: bacterial SSU rRNA
Rfam family: Bacterial small subunit ribosomal RNA
Source: RNAcentral
CUUCCACAAUGGACGAAAGUCUGAUGGAGCAACGCCGCGUGAGUGAAGAAGGUUCUCGGAUCGUAAAACUCUGUUGUGAGGGAAGAACAAGUACCGGAGUAACUGCCGGUACCUUGACGGUACCUCAUUAGAAAGCCACGGCUAACUACGUGCCAGCAGCCGCGGUAAUACGUAGGUGGCAAGCGUUGUCCGGAAUCAUUGGGCGUAAAGCGCGCGCAGGCGGUCCCUUAAGUCUGAUGUGAAAGCCCACGGCUCAACCGUGGAGGGUCAUUGGAAACUGGGGGACUUGAGUGCAGAAGAGGAAAGCGGAAUUCCAAGUGUAGCGGUGAAAUGCGUAGAGAUUUGGAGGAACACCAGUGGCGAAGGCGGCUUUCUGGUCUGUAACUGACGCUGAGGCGCGAAAGCGUGGGGAGCAAACAGGAUUAGAUACCCUGGUAGUCCACGCCGUAAACGAUGAGUGCUAAGUGUUAGGGGGUUUCCGCCCCUUAGUGCUGCAGCUGACGCAUUAAGCACUCCGCCUGGGGAGUACGGUCGCAAGACUGAAACUCAAAGGAAUUGACGG